UGCAGUCGAGCGGACAGAUGGGAGCUUGCUCCCUGAUGUUAGCGGCGGACGGGUGAGUAACACGUGGGUAACCUGCCUGUAAGACUGGGAUAACUCCGGGAAACCGGGGCUAAUACCGGAUGGUUGUCUGAACCGCAUGGUUCAGACAUAAAAGGUGGCUUCGGCUACCACUUACAGAUGGACCCGCGGCGCAUUAGCUAGUUGGUGAGGUAACGGCUCACCAAGGCGACGAUGCGUAGCCGACCUGAGAGGGUGAUCGGCCACACUGGGACUGAGACACGGCCCAGACUCCUACGGGAGGCAGCAGUAGGGAAUCUUCCGCAAUGGACGAAAGUCUGACGGAGCAACGCCGCGUGAGUGAUGAAGGUUUUCGGAUCGUAAAGCUCUGUUGUUAGGGAAGAACAAGUGCCGUUCAAAUAGGGCGGCACCUUGACGGUACCUAACCAGAAAGCCACGGCUAACUACGUGCCAGCAGCCGCGGUAAUACGUAGGUGGCAAGCGUUGUCCGGAAUUAUUGGGCGUAAAGGGCUCGCAGGCGGUUUCUUAAGUCUGAUGUGAAAGCCCCCGGCUCAACCGGGGAGGGUCAUUGGAAACUGGGGAACUUGAGUGCAGAAGAGGAGAGUGGAAUUCCACGUGUAGCGGUGAAAUGCGUAGAGAUGUGGAGGAACACCAGUGGCGAAGGCGACUCUCUGGUCUGUAACUGACGCUGAGGAGCGAAAGCGUGGGGAG
This 729-nucleotide ribosomal RNA is filed under the name Bacillus sp. (in: firmicutes). RNAcentral describes it as "bacterial SSU rRNA". It matches the Rfam family "Bacterial small subunit ribosomal RNA", at positions 56 to 768 of the family's 1533-position model. Lineage: Bacteria; Bacillati; Bacillota; Bacilli; Caryophanales; Bacillaceae. The record is from RNAcentral.